GACGAACGCUGGCGGCGUGCUUAACACAUGCAAGUCGAACGGUAAGGCUCCAGCUUGCUGGGGUACACGAGUGGCGAACGGGUGAGUAACACGUGGGUGACCUGCCCUGCACUUCGGGAUAAGCCUGGGAAACUGGGUCUAAUACCGGAUAGGACCAUGGUGUGGAUACUGUGGUGGAAAGUUUUUUCGGUGUGGGAUGGGCCCGCGGCCUAUCAGCUUGUUGGUGGGGUAAUGGCCUACCAAGGCGGCGACGGGUAGCCGGCCUGAGAGGGUGGACGGCCACAUUGGGACUGAGACACGGCCCAGACUCCUACGGUAGGCAGCAGUGGGGAAUAUUGCACAAUGGGCGGAAGCCUGAUGCAGCGACGCCGCGUGGGGGAUGACGGCCUUCGGGUUGUAAACUCCUUUCACCAUCGACGAAGGGUUUCUGACGGUAGAUGGAGAAGAAGCACCGGCUAACUACGUG
Molecule: ribosomal RNA, 466 nt
Filed under: uncultured bacterium
Lineage: Bacteria
Description: partial 16S ribosomal RNA
Rfam family: Bacterial small subunit ribosomal RNA
Source: RNAcentral